AUCAAGAAUGCUGCUGUGGCUUCCUGGGGACCCACAGCGCCUGUCCACAUGGAUCAAAUAACUCAAAUGUUCUAAGUCACAGGCAGUGGACGGAGUUCCUUGGAAUACUCACAAGGCCUCAGUCGUUACAGGAGCUGGAUCCUCUCCAGGUCAGGACUCACUAACAUGUUCUUCUUUUCUUCCUAGGUACGUGGGGGAUUUACUACCCUGUCCCCUUGGUUGAGUUGGAGCCACGAGACCAUUCUGGCGAAUGGCCCAUGAGUACGAGUUAUAUAUAGUUAAAAGCUAGUGUGCGUGUUUCACGCUCUGCAGCCCUGACUCAGAAAGCAGUGUGUAAAGACAGCAGAGCUACAGGAUAGAAAAAGUAUGAAUUGCUCAGUCAUCACUUGGAGGGCAGCUGCUCACCAGAAUUCUGUGAGCAAGAAACAAACUUUGGUUUGGGUUAAGCCACUAAGAUUUCAGUAUCGAUUUGUUACUGCAGCCUGGCCUGGCCUCUCCUGACUCUUUGAAACGUCCCAGAGGACUGAGGUGCCCGUGACAUCCCCCAGCAGAGGCUGGCAGAGGGGAGAGCCUGGAUGGGAGAUCCUAUAGCUUGUCUUCAGGACUCUGUCUUUGCAAUUAAUGCUCUUGUGCACCCUCUCCCCAUCCCACCCCCCACCUCUCCUCAGUUAUCCAAAGAUCUGCCACGGCAUUUACCCAUUGCUCUGCCACUAUAAACAAGGGGACUUGCCUGAAGGCCUCACUUCAUAACUUAUUGUGAUUCAGAAAAUAUCAGGGCCCUGGAGCCUACCCAGUUCAAAAUCCUCGUCCAACGGGGAGAGAAUCUAUGGCUUAGGAGGUAAGACAACUUGCCCAAGGUCACACAACACCUCGAUGAUAAGACUGAUAGUCCAGUCUCCUGGCUCCGAGGCCCAGACUUCCUCCUCCAUCUCUUCCCAUUGACCUGGGUCCUAGUCUCACCUGAGGGUUAAAAGGCAUGUAUCCCACAACUCUUGUGUUAGGAAAAAAUUAGCAAAAUGUUGGAAAUCAAAAGAAAGUGCAGCAUGUCCUUCAAUGUUGUGCCAGGGCCUCGCUUAACAAACCCACUAAGGGGUUAUUAACUCUCUGGCAGAAUGUACUUAUGCUCCAUACGAUUGGAUCAGAGCCUAGACACUGUGGAAUUACAUGUUUAGCUGUAGAUUUCUGCCUGGCAAAGGAAGAAAAUGCCAGUGGUUAUGCUUUUACUGCCCUGUAGGACAUUAACCAAUUUUUAUCUAGGCUGAUAAUCUUUUCUUUCUCUCCUCUUUCUUUCUUUUUAAAAACACCUUUCUUGGGGGCCGGCCCCAUGGCCAACUUGUUAAGUUCGCAUGCUCCACUUCAGCAGUCCGGGGUUCACCAGUUGAGAUCCUGGACAUGGACACACGCACCACUCAUCAGGCCAUGCCGAGGCAGCGUCCCGCAUAGCACAACUAGAAGGACCUACACCUAGAUUAUACAACUAUGUGCUGGGGCUUUGGGGAGAAAAAAAAAAAGAGGAAGAUUGGCAACAGAUGUUAGCUCAGGGCCAAUCUUCCUCACAAAAAAACAAAAUCAAUCAAUAAAAAUACCUUUCUUGAUGGACUAUAUCAAUCUAAAUUCUUCCAGUGCUCUCAGAACUAGUUUUACCAUUUCACUGGUUCUCUCAUCCAUUAAUAAAUAUGUUAAAUAAAAUCUGUGACACACGUUCAUUCUGUGUUUGUAAUGAAAAGCAUGUUUUCAACUUUUUCCAAAUUACAUUUUGACACUUGAGAGAAGCGUCCACUGGUUUUCAGUUUUGUAGCCCCAGGGCCUCGCAUAGGUGUCUGACCGAGAACUGGAAGUCAUAGUUGUCCACCGAAGGAGUGACUGAAUUCUGGCCUAUCCAUCAAGAUCAUAGAUCAGAGAUUUGCAUUUUAUCAGCAUCUUUAAAGUCUUGACUCAGAGGAGAAGUUCUGAUGUAGGAAGCUCAGGGACCAGGAGACCGGUAGGGGAAACGUUUGGGCUUUGGGGGGAAAGCCUGAUGCUCCUCAUAGGGGCUAACUCCAUCUUCACACACAAACAUGGUACUUGCGUCCUGAUGCCCGUGGGGACACACCUUCUAGCUCAGUGGGCGAAGUGAGGAUAGGCAUAUUCCUCUGAGGCCCCCUCCGACAGACCCACCUGUGUGACCCGUGCAUUCUUCCAGAAGUUAAGAGGGAGAGUCAGUCUGCUGUUCCACUUCCUCAUCCUGUCCCCAUUAUAUGCCAUCAGCUUAGCUGGUCAUCUCUGAUAGUCAGUAAAAUCCCACCAGGCAGCCAGAAGCAGAAUAACUUACCCGGUGCCUCUCCUACCUGCUCUAAUCAUGGCCCUUGUACCAAGAACCCCAUCCUUCAGAAGGAUGUGGCUCACAAUGGUGUCAUUCCCCAAAAGCUUCCAUAGGGGCUUCUUCGUUAGUUUUCCCUUCCACCCACAGGCACUGCUGGGUCCUCAAAAAUUUAAGACAAGUCAGCUUUCCGCCUUCCAGUGAGCAGACCCAGACAAAAGUCUUCUGAACGCGGCCAAGCAGAGUUUCUUCAAAAAGAGCAGUGUCCUUGCCUUGUCCAGGAACUUCACCGGAGCUGAAGGAAACAGCGGGCUGGGCUUGUCAUGAUUUAUCCUCGCCAGCAGCAGCCCGGUGUUUAUCAUUCCGCACGAGGCUUGGAUGGGCCUGAGUGGAUCAGGACUAAAGCAGCUGAUUUAUAUUCAGAGCGGAGUUUAAAUUAACUGCGCAGAAGUCAAAUCUCGCUUUGCUCGUGUUUGCUUUUUCUGAGCAGCGCCCAGGACUUCUGCUUUGAAACUUCCCAUUUCGCACAACCCCUCGACCUGGAAUGGAACGCCCUUCAGUUGUUAGACCGGAUGCUGCCCCCAUUCGUGAAUCACCUAAUAAAGCCGAUUAGAUCUUCAAAUUUACUCUCGUGGAAGAGACAUUUUUUGUGGACCAGAGACCUGAGAGAGAAGCAGAAAGAAGUGUUCAGCAACGUGCUGGGGGCCCGCAUCCUAGGGAUGAAUCAUGCCAGUGAUUGGUUUGGGGUGGCCAUGUGACCCAGGUCUGGCCAGUGAAAUGGAAGGGAAAGUCUUUGGGGUAGAGCUGGACCACUGGGAAACAUUUUCCUCUCUGACAAACUAAAGAGUGACGUUAGGAGAAGACUUUCUUUGCUUCAUGUUUUGCAUGCUGUCGUGUGUUUUCAAGCACCCAUGGCCUCUUUUUUCUCUCUAAUCUUACCUUCUAUGACAUUCCUCCUCCAUCACACCAAUCCAGCUACUGGUCUCCUUGCUUCCCUAGAACAUACUAAGAACACACCUGCCUCAGGGCCUUUGCACUUGCUAUUCCCCCCCACCUAGAACACCCUUCCUCCAGAUCUUCACUGGAUUUUUCUUUCACAUCUUCAGGUCUUUGUUCAAAUAUCAGCUUCUCAGUGAGGAUAUUUUAAAAAUAUCCUUAUCCUUCUCAUUACCUUUAUUCUUUUUAUUGUUUUCUAUAACAUGUCACUAAUAUACUACGUAGUUUUAAAAUUUAUUUUGUUCAUUAUCUCCCCUUUACCCACUACAAUGGAAGUUCCUUGUGGGCAAGGAUUUCCAUAAGUUUUAUUCACUGUUGUGUUUCCAAUGCUGAGAAAUGUGCCCAACACAUAGUAGCACUUAUUAAAUAUUUGUUGAAUGAAUGAAUGAAUGGAUGCUGCACUUCAGGCUCCAGCAGCCAUCUUGUGACCAUGAGGACAAGUGAAGGAAAUCAAAGGGAAACAGCCCCACAGCCCCAUCAGCUGCUGACUUAGCAGCUCUACCUGAUGAAUUAUUGUUACUGAAAGAAGGUCUUAAGAGUUUCAGCCAACGUUAGUUGGGGAACUUUCUCUUGUGACUGAAAUCAUCCUAAAUGAUACACUCUUCAAAGCUACUGGGGUGAGAGUCAAAGGAGGCUUUAUCAUCCCACCCCAGGGGGAUUUAGGCACAGGCUCUCCAAGAGAGGGAUGGGGAAUCUGGGCCCGGUGGCAUCUGGAAUGUCAUCAGUUGAGGAGGUGGCAGUCUGAUCUCCAGCUGCUCCCUGGUGCACUCAGGGUCUCAGUGUUUCCAUCAACACAAUGGACAUCAUAGCACCUACUUUCAUUAUAGAUCCAGGAUCCAGAAACUUCGAAGGAGUUGCAGGCCUUGGUGUUCAAGAAGUAGCCCGUCAGCGUGCCCAUUUUGUAAAUGAAGUAACGGAGGUUGAGUGGCAUUGGGGCGGGCCUCCACCAGACCCACGGCUCUCACCGCAGGGCUCUGUGGGUCUUUCUUCCUGUGCACAGUAGUUCCAGAGCGCAGUAUCAUUCCUGGGAGGACUGAGAAUUCUCAUACUACUUCCUUCUCGGAACAGAAGUACAAUAAGGGGAAGUGGGAUGUUGACAAUUAGCUGGUCACGUGAACUUGCCAAGACAGAUACAACAAGGCACUGGCUGGGGCUCUGGGACAACCACAGAAGAGGCUGAGAAGAUAGGGCCCCAUUUGGUCUCCACGAAAUAUCCAGAGGGCUCUUUUACAAUGUAAAUCUCAUCAUGUCACUCUCCUGCUCAAGAACCUUCCAUGGACUUCCAUUGCUCUGAAAUUAAAAUCCAAACUCCUUAGCAGGACCUACAAACCCUCACUGGAUCUGGGCCCCAUUUCCCCUCAGACUCGAUUCACAACAACCCCCACCCCCAUCCCACCAGGCUCCAGGCACAGGCCCCUGUUCCUGCCCCUAGUCCUUGGCAACCACGCUCUCUCUCUCUGGAAUGCUCUCCCAGCUCUUUGCAUAACUGACUUAUUCUCAACCUUGAGGUCUCCACUCCUGUAUUUUCCUCUUUAGAAAAACAUUCUCUGGCCUCCCUCCCUCCCUGAGGUGUCAGCAGCCCAGUUCCUCCCACCAUCACCCAGUCUGUUUCACCCGGAGCACUUAUCACAGUCUGUAAUUGUCUUGGUUGCUUUUUUACUUAUUUAUUGACUAUCUCCCGAACUAGACUGUCCCAGAGGGCAAGGACCGUCCUCUCUUCUUAGCUGCAUCUACAGGGCCUCACUCAAUGCCUGGAACAUGAUAAUGCUCAAUAAUUGUGUCGAGUGAAUAAAUGAAAGAAUGCAUGAAUGCUUCUGUUCACAUCAACCACAGUGCUACAUGGCCAGGAUCCUGCAGGACACUGGCCUGAAAGCCCUGGGAUGGCCCUGGACAAACCAGAAGUGUCACAGCCAUCACAAGAUAGUGAUGCUCCAAGUCCAUCCAAAGAGGACUGCACAAGCCCACCAGCCCUGCAGGGCAUGGACCUGCCUCCAGCCCUCACCCCAGGUCCCGGGCUGAGCAACCCUCAAACUUCUGACCACAGACAAGCUCUGUCUCCCCAGGGUUCCCCCAUUGCUGUUUGGAGGGAGUAAGGCCUGGCCUCCCUGCAGCCAACUGGGCAGUCCAGUGAUAACGGAGGGGUACCUGGUGGGAUGUCGGGCAGCAGGGAACAGCAGGCCUCAUGGGAGCCUGCUCGGGACUGUGAAAGAUGACGUGAGUGGAGCCAGAUUAACGCAGAGCCAGGGCAGCCAUUUCAGAGGCAUUGGUUUGCACGUCUUGUUUUCUUUAUCUUUCAAACUGGACCAAACCGCUGACAUUCCAAGAAGUCAGUAAGGACAAGAAUAUCCUGUCUGUAAGGACUGAUGAUGACCGAAUCAUGACCUGGACUUGGUGAUGACCGAAUCGCUCACCAACAAAGUACAAGUCUAGGCUCUUGCCUGAUGACGGAAUCUCAGGUCAAUCAGUGAAGUACAAACCUAGCCUGACCUCAUCUAGCACCAAUGAACUCCUCUGUAAUACAGCUCACCCCAUCCUCCCUUUUUCCCGUAAAAACCCGGAGCCCCUCUCCCAUAAUCAGAACACGUUUUGAGUUUCUACCUGAGUCUAUGUCCCCUGAAUUGAAAUUCUAACUGCCCAAAUAAAUAUCUACUGCUUAAAUUGUAG
RNAcentral lists this long non-coding RNA (5959 nucleotides) under Equus caballus (horse). RNAcentral's name for it is "lncRNA (ENSECAG00000030957.3)". Lineage: Eukaryota; Metazoa; Chordata; Mammalia; Perissodactyla; Equidae. The record is from RNAcentral.